AGGUUGAUUGUUUGUGCAUUGAGUGGUUGUUUUAUUUGCGGUUGGUAAAAGUAGUAAACACAAAAUGCAAAACCUAACAAAAAUAAGUUUAUGACGCCUGCUUCAAAGCUGCGUUUCAAAAAAUCUAUCACAUUGCUUACCAAAACAUGCUUCUAAUUAACACUGAAACAUAUCCGUCUUGUAGUUACAUCAUUACACGUAAAACACGUAAGUGAAGUAGUGGAACAUGAGCAAGAUAUGUUUUAGAAUAAGUGCAUGUGAU
This 262-nucleotide long non-coding RNA is filed under the name Brassica napus (rape). RNAcentral's name for it is "long non-coding RNA (BNAP_LNC000165)". The record is from RNAcentral. Lineage: Eukaryota; Viridiplantae; Streptophyta; Magnoliopsida; Brassicales; Brassicaceae.